UGAAUCAAAUAAUAAUCAAAGCUCUAAAUCGAACUUAGGCCAUACUGCCUCAUUUGGGCUACUGUGAAGCCCAAAACGAAGCUUUAGCUCUUUCGAGGCAGAUGUAACCCAAACACUUUGAAAGACCAGUAAAGAUCCAGAAACUGAAUUUAUUCACCAAUGCAUCUUAUUAUCAGCGAUUAACACUAGCCAUAAAAAAAACUAUAAUUCAACUCAUUCAUGAACUAAUCUAAAUUUAAAUUCCCAACUUUCUUAACCAACUAAAAUUUAUAUUUUACAAAGCAUAUACAACCCAUUCUAACAAAUAUCAAUUAAACUAAUAGGACAUUGAAUCAGCUAAUCCUGUCAUGAGGCAACACAUAAUUCAAAAUAAGGAUUAUUCAAACACAGCUGAAAAUAAUGACAUGGAAUCCCUAAGUACAUAGUACUUGAACAAAAGUUUUGCCCAAAAAAGUCUCCACAAAAGAAUUGAAGAUCCAACAUAUAAGGUAUUCAGUCCCAUUUUACACAAACAUCUAUAUGAGCCUUAAACAUUUAAAUAAACACAAAUUUCAUUACAACACAUAGAUACAUGCUCCCAACUUCUCUGAUCAUUUAAAGGUUGAAAAGAGUACCUGGAUAUCAAAACAAGGCAAAAUGGAGUAAGGGUUCAACACAUCAAACUAAUAAAAAUAAUAGCAAAUAUAAGCAACAAUAAGCCUUGAUUCAAACCAUAUUUAACCCAGAAAUCCAGCAGAGAUUUUCUAAAUUUUUUGCUAAAAGAGAAAGAUCAGAAAUAAUCUAGUAAUGUAGAAACCUUUUUUUUUGUGUAUUUUCUAGGGCUCAGAUCUCUAAUCAGUGUGUUUUCAGAACUUUUUUAUGCUAAAAAUGCUGAUGAUGGUCUGUGAGUAUGAGUGAAUGCUUUUCUUUUUAUAGAGUGCACAAAGAAGGCAUCAAAAUAGAAUAUUCUAACCUAAAUUCUGA
RNAcentral lists this long non-coding RNA (963 nucleotides) under Nicotiana tabacum (common tobacco). RNAcentral describes it as "long non-coding RNA (NTAB_LNC014656)". Lineage: Eukaryota; Viridiplantae; Streptophyta; Magnoliopsida; Solanales; Solanaceae. The record is from RNAcentral.